This is a long non-coding RNA of Cylas formicarius (sweet potato weevil), 432 nucleotides long. RefSeq lists it as uncharacterized. The transcript is spliced from 3 exons. The record is from RefSeq and is a predicted model, not a curated record. Lineage: Eukaryota; Metazoa; Arthropoda; Insecta; Coleoptera; Brentidae.
CCGCGAGUAGGAUAGAUAUCGGAGACUGAGCGUCUCUAUGCGGCGUCAGUGCUUCGGGACUUCCCGGCGCCGACAUCUUGAGCGUUGCCAGGGCGACCUCGUCUUGUGCGGAACUGGGACGUUCAGGGGACAUUUUGAUUUUGAACUUGACGAGGCUGGUACUUUGCAUAGCACAUUGUAAUUGCGAAGAUUUUUUAAAAGUGUUUUGAAACCAAUUGAUAAUCAAUGCUAGAAUAUGGUCUUUGCAAACAGUUUCACCGAGGUACGAACAACUUGGGUCCUGUCUAUACGAACCGUGACUACAACAACUUGAAUACCUACACAAUGCCCAGCAUAACGAAGAUGUAGAAUCUCUGCAAGGUUUCACGAGCAUAUUCUUAUAACAUUUUGGAUGCUACCAGAUUCCUACAACCUUUCGCCGCGUUAUCAACU